GGGCCUGGGCACAGGUGGUUCUGACCCAGUCCAGCCCGGAGAUUAAGAAACCCGGGGAAUCCACUAAACUGACCUGUGCCGUGAGCGGCUUUGCUCUCAGCAGCACUAGCAUGUACUGGAUCCGACAGGCUCCGGGAAAGGGGCUGGAGUGGCUGAUCUACUAUUAUUCAUCGUCUAGCAACAGCUACUCCCCGACCAUCCAGGGGCGAUUCACAGCCUCCAAGGACAGCUCCAAUUUCUACCUACACAUGACCAGCCUGAGAGCGGAGGACACCGCCGUGUAUUACUGCGCGAGGGACACA
Non-coding RNA from Chrysemys picta bellii (western painted turtle), 302 nucleotides. The record is from the annotation of a RefSeq genome assembly. Lineage: Eukaryota; Metazoa; Chordata; Testudines; Emydidae.